AUUGGCCAGGUUAUUAGUACGAGAAUACUGACUGGAUAAACUUAGUAUGUUAAAUGCGUAUGUACAUAGAUGUGUAUAUAUACAUUUAUACAUUUAUUGAACUAGUAUAUAGAAAUCUUCACCUUAUUAGAAGAAGGUUGUAUAAAUGUAAGUACGUACAUUGAAAAAUUUCAUUCAUUCGGGAUAACAAACGAUUUAUUAUUAUAGAUAAUACAUGCCAUGGCCGAUUUUCAUUCAGCAGAUUUCGAAAGAAGGUUACUUCAUCUUUUUAUUUGUAGUUCCUUCGAUAUGAAAGUUUCGAGUACGGACCAUUCCAUGGAAUAUCGGAUAGGCUCAAAGCAGCAGAUGCACCAUUAAUAGAUAUUACAUCUGGAUCAUUAAUUCCAUCAACAGCAAGUGUGUUACAUACUAGUUGUGUUUCUAAAUUCCAUCCUUGUAGAAACAAUGGUCGUAAUGAUCUAUCUACUAAUCUACUUUUAAAGGAAGUAUAGAUUCGUUACUGCUAAUCUUACUACAAACUGCUGUGACCAUAACAGAUGUAUCUCCGAUAGAUACAACUGCACUACUAUUGCUAAGUUGAGCAUAUUUCCCACCAGAGAUGAUAAGAUGAC
This is a long non-coding RNA of Vespula pensylvanica (western yellowjacket), 611 nucleotides long. RefSeq lists it as uncharacterized. The record is from RefSeq and is a predicted model, not a curated record. The transcript has 4 exons. NCBI's taxonomy places the organism in Eukaryota, Metazoa, Arthropoda, Insecta, Hymenoptera, Vespidae.